GGGGUUAUAGCUCAGCUGGUUAGAGCGCCACGUUGACAUCGUGGAGGUCAUUGGUUCGAACCCAACUAACCCCACCA
RNAcentral lists this transfer RNA (77 nucleotides) under Bacillota bacterium. RNAcentral's name for it is "tRNA-Val". It matches the Rfam family "tRNA". From Rfam's summary of the family: Transfer RNA (tRNA) molecules are approximately 80 nucleotides in length. Lineage: Bacteria; Bacillati; Bacillota. The record is from RNAcentral.